AAGUCGGAGCUUUCCUUCAGUGAGUCGAGCCAUGCGGGCAUCAAUAGAUACAAAAAUACCAAAUGUCUUAUUGUGAAAGGUGAAAGAGGAAGUAGAUCUGUAUUAGCCGUCCCAGGAAUCGGCAUUUAUUGACUACAUUUCACAAAGUGCGGUGAGUUAUUCCACCACAUCACCACAGUUCUGUCCAGUUUAAGGUGUUUAAACUGAAUCUAACUAAUCAGAGUCAGAUCAGCAGUUAGUUGAAGGUCAAGUUGUUUUCAGAGCCUUCAUCUCACCAGCGGUAACCAGCGACUGAUGGGAGAUAAUCUCACUUCAUCAUCUCAGGAGCCGCAAGGUAAACGUGUAAAUCAGCUGUCUGCUUUUGUUCUGUUGCCACAAAAUACGAUUAUUUACUCAUUAUUUCCAAAAAUGGGGGAAGUGCGGAUUGAGAUGAACAUCCCGAUGGAAGAAGAAGGAGAAGUUCUCCACCGGCGUCGUCGCCCCGACUUCCCGUCUCCUUAUUCAUCGCCAUGGAAACGGACACACCCUUCAUUUAUGGGAUGUUCCACUCCAAAUGGACCCAGCAGCAUCUCCACACCAGGACGUCCUGCUGUGGUGGGAAGUGUUGUAAAACGCCUCACGACCUCCAGCACCGACUUGCAUGACUGGAUUAUUUCAUAUUUGAAAGGAGUAUUUGUGCGUUUGAGGAGCCUUCAACUUCAAACUGGACUCUCGUGUCCUGAGCUUCCUUUCAGUUCCCCUGUUGCAUGGCAACACGUGUUUCAUUGUGGUCUUUGUGGUCAGAUGGGGCACUUUAUCCAUGUGAAGGAGCCCAGUGGAGAAGGAGCCUGCGGGAUUCAUAGAUGGAUGGAUGACAUCUUACAUUUCACAUCAGCUUCAUCUGCCUCGAAUCCAGCAUCCGCAGCGCCGUCCAUCCUAUAAACAUUAAACACUGAAGUGAAGAACAAAUUGGAGGUUUUUAUACAUUAUUUGAGCAUUUCUUUAUCUGCUAUUUUGUACUUUUACUCCACAACAUGUCAGAAAUAAAUAAUGUUCUUUUUGCUGAAGAGUUUUUGUAGUUUUCUGUUGAUUUAUUUCAGAAAUGUGGUAUAACUGAAAUAUAGCUGACCUGUGGAAUCUUAGUGACGAACUGACGUGUUCCUUUAUGUGUAGAACGUAGUGAUAAACUGAGGUACGAAGUGUUUCUUCUCAUGAUGAUCGUCAUAAUGUCACUUCAUCUUUGUUAAAAGUGUCGGGUUUUUUUCAGCUUUAUCCGUUUGUCUCUCAAAUAAAAAAUAAGAAAAAAAGAAAAGCGGUGAGGAAGGACCCAGUCAUACCUGACCUUUUUGUCUCCUCGGGUUGCCACGGUAACGUGGCAUGAAUGCUGAAAGCUAAACAUAGACAACUAACUAACGCACAAACACACACACACACACACAGUCGUCCCACUCGUGUGGACAAAAGCUCAGUGAGGUGGUGAUUAUGUAGAAAUACACACACACACACACACAGUAGUGGGUUUUAUUACAAGGGCUUAAAGGCUGCAGGUGGGGAAGGACAGGUGUGUGUGUGUGUGUGUGUGUGUGUGUGUGUGUGUGUGUGUGUCGGGGUGUUCACCUCAUGUUCAGCAUCGCAGAUCUAGAAGCUGAUGUUGUAGUUCCUCGUCUCAGGUGGUUCAUCAGCACAGUAUCAG
Molecule: long non-coding RNA, 1672 nt
Organism: Gasterosteus aculeatus aculeatus (three-spined stickleback)
Lineage: Eukaryota; Metazoa; Chordata; Actinopteri; Perciformes; Gasterosteidae
Source: Ensembl